UGCAGAGGUCCCAAGCGUUGUUCGGAUUCACUGGGCGUAAAGGGUGCGUAGGCGGUCGGGUAAGUCUGAUGUGAAAUCUCCAAGCCUAACUUGGAAACUGCAUUGGAUACUAUCCGGCUAGAGGAAUGGAGGGGAGACUGGAAUACUUGGUGUAGCAGUGAAAUGCGUAGAUAUCAAGUGGAACACCAGUGGCGAAGGCGAGUCUCUGGACAUUUCCUGACGCUGAGGCACGAAAGCCAGGGGAGCAAACGGGG
This 254-nucleotide ribosomal RNA is filed under the name uncultured bacterium. RNAcentral's name for it is "partial 16S ribosomal RNA". It matches the Rfam family "Bacterial small subunit ribosomal RNA", at positions 524 to 777 of the family's 1533-position model. The record is from RNAcentral.